Molecule: ribosomal RNA, 327 nt
Filed under: uncultured eukaryote
Lineage: Eukaryota
Description: partial 18S ribosomal RNA
Rfam family: Eukaryotic small subunit ribosomal RNA
Source: RNAcentral
CCCUUAGAUGUUCUCGGCCGCACACGCGCUACACUGAAAGAGGCAACGUGUUUGCCUGAUUCGAAAGAAUUGGGUAACCCCCUAAUCUCUUUCGUGUUGGGGAUUGAGGUUUGCAAUUAUCCUUCAUGAACGAGGAAUUCCCAGUAAGUGCGAGUCAUUAUCUCGCGCUGACUACGUCCCUGCCCUUUGUACACACCGCCCGUCGCUACUACCGAUUGAAUGAUUUAGUGAGGACUUCGGACUGAGUCCAAUGCGGCUUUCGGGCUGCGUUGGUAUUUCGGAAAGAUGUCCAAACUGUAUCAUUUAGAGGAAGUAAAAGUCGUAACA